ACGGAGCCCGGGCGACGGAGGGGCUGCAGGAACGGAGCCCGGGCGACGGAGGGGCUGCAGGAAUGGAGCCUGGGUGACGGAGAGGCUGCAGGAACGGAGCCUGGGUGACGGAGAGGCUGCAGGAACGGAGCCUGGGUGACGGAGAGGCUGCAGGCAUUCUUUGGCCCCUUCCAUUGUUGAGGAAGACCCAGGCCCAGCCUCCCUUGCUCUUAGGUUGGUCACAUGACUCACUCCAGCAAAUGGGAUGUGAGCAGAAGGUAUAUAUGUUACCUGGAAUGAGGUGAAUAAUUACCUGGUGUGCUUUUCUACAAUCCUUGUUGCCUGAGUGAUGCCAAGAUCAUUUUGAAGCUGCAAGAUGGUGGAGCCACAAGAUGAAAGGAACCUGUAUCUCUGAGUCACCACACAGAAGAGAGACAUCUAGGAAAGCUGCUUGACAUGGGUCAUAUGAGUAAGAAAUCAACCUCACUGCGCAAAGCCACUGAGAAAUCAACCUUCCUGCACAAAGCCACCGAGAUGUUGGGGCUACUUAUUAGAGUGGCUAGUGGGAAUUACUCUGACUAAUAUAAAGGGGUUAAACUUGAUGGGAUGCAAAUAGGAAAUGGCUUCAUUUUUUCCAAUCACUGCUUUAAACAUGCUCCUAUUAAGCCUCCUUGCCCUGUCUCUUGACAACAUCUUGGACAGAUUCUAAGUUUUCGGUUACUGUUGGUUGUAAGAAGAGUCUCAUCUUAGUAAUUAGGACUCGCUUUCAGGGCCAGUCCAGCCUCAGAGAUUUAUGCUCACAUCCAGUUGAAAACUUCUUCCUUUCCUUCAGCUCAGGGCUGACCCAUGGCUUGGAGAUAAGAUUGGUCUGUUCUUUUGCUUCACUUCUGCUUUCUUGCCCUUCUGCUGCUGCUGGCUCCUUGAGAGUCAGAGCAAGGAGAUAGAGGAAUAGUAGAAAAAGGGGCUAAAAGUCUUAGGUCCCCGUCACUGUUGUAACCCACUGCUGAUGUCCUGGGUGUCAGGUUCUCCGAGGCUGGUGUUUGGGAUGGUGUUUUUGUUGGUCCUUUUGAGACAUUACAUGGACCACCUUCUGCCCCCUUCUCUGAUGGUGGCUGUGCAGAAUGCAGCUCGGGAUGGCCUCCUGUUAUACUCUCCUCUCCUGCCCUCACCCAGUUUCCACCACCAGGGGUAUGUCCAGGCCCAUGGGGAACACAUGCAUGCUUCCUACCAUAUGACAGCAGGCUGGCCCUCGGUUCUCACACUCCAGUGUGGCCUGCGCCAAGGCAGGCACCUGAAAGACCUGGGAGGUAACAAGUCCAAAAAUGAGUGGAACCAUCUGUCCCUUCUUAGGGGCCCUAUGGAGGGAGGAAAGAAGCCUGAAAAAUAAAUGGGGCUUGGAAUUCUGUUGGCUACAGAUUUGUAACAUCGAAGUUGAGGGGAUUAUUUUGUGUCACAAAAGGAUUCUUCUAGGAGUUACUAACUUGGAGUUUGGCUAAGUGGAGGGGUAAGGGUGAGACAGAUUAUAUCGCUGGUCUGUGCUUUUUGUAGGUCAUGGGUUCUUUGGGGAAUAUGAUGAAAGUUCCCUAGAAAAAUGCAUGUAUUCAUGUACGGAUAGUAUUUAUUAUGAAAUUUUAGGGCAUCCUGAAUCCCACUGUGUCUGCCAGAGGGGUCCAUGAAAUCCCAGUUAGUUAUCUCCAAACAAAAGUGCUGCUCCCCUGAAGUCUGAUUCCUUCAGUGUGGACCCAUCUGGGGACCCUGGCACCCACCCCCUGCCCCCUUCUCAGACUCUCUCUGCAGCAUCACAGUGAACUUACUCUUCUCCAACACACAUGACAAUUCCUGCCUUCAUGUCCUAGCCUGUGCUGUGCCUCCUGCUGGGGCAUUCUUUCCUCCAUGCCACCCAGGUCUCACUGUUGUGCAGAGCUCAGGCUACGCACCAUCUUCUCUAGGAAGCCAUUGGUGGUAGGCACAAUUCUAAAGACAUUGCCCCAAGACUCCUGUCCCUAGCUGUUCAGUUGAAUAUGAAUCUAGGUAGGCUGUGAAGAAGGGAUUUUGCAGAAGAAAUUAAUGCUACUAAUCAGCUGACCUUCAAGUAGGGAGAUUAACCUGGAUUAUCUGAGUGGCCCAAAUAUAAUCACAUGAGCCCUUAAAAGCAGCAGAGGAGGGCAGCAGAGUCAAUCAGAGAGAUGUGGUGGAAGGGGAGGGCAGAGAGAUGAGGCAGAAGAGAAGGUCAGAGCAGAGCAAGUCACAGUGCAAGGAGGACUUGACACUGCAUUGCUGGCUUUGAAGAUGUGGGAAGAGGCCAGGAACUGAGGAUGUGGACAGCCUUCAAAAGCUCAGAAUCAUGGCAAAAAAAUGGGGACCUUGAUCCUGCAAUGGCAAGGAACUGAAUUCUGCCCACAACAUGAAUGAGCCUACAAGCAGAUUCCUCCCCAGAGCCCUGAGAAAGGAACACAGCCCUGAUGACACCUUGAUUUCGGCUUUGUGAAUCCCAGAGCAGAGAACCAGCUGAGCUGUGCCGUGCCCAGAUUUCCAACCUACAGAACUGCGAGGUGAUAAAUAGGUAUGGUUUAAGCUGCUGAAUGUGUGAUAAUUUGUUACAGCAGCGAUAGAAACUAGCACAUCAUUGGCAGUGCAUUAAAUAGGGCCACAAAGUCUUUGACAUACUGAGAGGUGGAGGUGCUUCCCCAGCCCUUUAAUCUCAGCUGGUCCGUGACUGCUUUGACCAAGGUGGCCAGCAGAAGUGAACAUAUACCAGUUCCAGGUCCAAUCUUUAAAAACACUGAGGCCAGGCACAGUGGCUCAUGCCUGUAAUCCCAGCACUUUGGGAGGCCAAGGCAGGUGGAUCACCUGAGGUCAGGAGUUCAAGACCAACCUGGCCAACAUGGUGAAACCCCAUCUCUACUGAAAAUACAAAAAUUAGCCAGGUGUGAUGGCGGGCGCCUGUAAUCCCAGCUACUCGGGAGGCUGAGGCAGGAGAAUCGCUUGAACCUGGGAGGCAGAGUUUGCAGUGAGCCGAGAUCGUGCCACUGCACUCCAGCCUAGGUGACAGAGGAAGACUCCAUCUCCAAACAAACAAACAAACAAACAAAUAAAAAUACUGGCUGCUCCCACAUUGGUUUCUUGGAGCUGGGACCUGCCAUUUAAGAACUUUGGCUAUGCCGAGACAUCAUGCAGAAAAGAAGCCCAAGCUAGCCAUGUGGAAAGGCCAUGUGGUGAGAGAUGCCUGGUCAGUUUCAGCUCCCAGCCAUUAGUCAUCCCAGCUGAGGCCACGGACAUCAUGGAGCAAAGACAAGCCAUCCCCACUGUUCUCUGUCUGAAUCACUGACCCACAGUACAGAAAGAUACAAUA
Homo sapiens (human) is the source of this 3331-nucleotide long non-coding RNA. Ensembl annotates it as long intergenic non-protein coding RNA 2622. Lineage: Eukaryota; Metazoa; Chordata; Mammalia; Primates; Hominidae. The record is from Ensembl.